UGGGGAAUAUUGCGCAAUGGGCGAAAGCCUGACGCAGCGACGCCGCGUGAGGGAUGAAGGUCUUCGGAUCGUAAAACCUCUGUCAGCAGGGAAGAACGGUCACUGUGCUAAUCAGCAGUGAAUUGACGGUACCUGCAAAGGAAGCACCGGCUAACUCCGUGCC
Molecule: ribosomal RNA, 163 nt
Filed under: uncultured bacterium
Lineage: Bacteria
Description: partial 16S ribosomal RNA
Rfam family: Bacterial small subunit ribosomal RNA
Source: RNAcentral